CUAGCCGUAAACGAUGGACACUAGGUGUCGGGAGUGUCGACUCUCCCGGUGCCGAAGCUAACGCAUUAAGUGUCCCGCCUGGGGAGUACGGCCGCAAGGUUAAAACUCAAAGGAAUUGACGGGGGCCCGCACAAGCAGCGGAGCAUGUGGUUUAAUUCGACGCAACGCGAAGAACCUUACCAGGGUUUGACAUGUACGUGGUAGGAAUCUGAAAGGUGACCGACCCUUCGGGGAGCGUACACAGGUGG
This 248-nucleotide ribosomal RNA is filed under the name uncultured bacterium. Its description in RNAcentral is "partial 16S ribosomal RNA". It matches the Rfam family "Bacterial small subunit ribosomal RNA", at positions 796 to 1041 of the family's 1533-position model. The record is from RNAcentral.